UGGGGAAUAUUGCACAAUGGGCGAAAGCCUGGUGCAGCAACGCCGCGUGAGUGAUGAAGGUCUUCGGAUUGUAAAGCUCUGUCUUUUGGGACGAUAAUGACGGUACCAAAGGAGGAAGCCACGGCUAACUACGUGCCAGCAGCCGCGGUAAUACGUAGGUGGCGAGCGUUGUCCGGAUUUACUGGGCGUAAAGGGUGCGCAGGCGGAUGUUUAAGUGAGAUGUGAAAUACCCGGGCUUAACUUGGGUGCUGCAUUUCAAACUGGAUAUCUAGAGUGCAGGAGAGGAGAAUGGAAUUCCUAGUGUAGCGGUGAAAUGCGUAGAGAUUAGGAAGAACACCAGUGGCGAAGGCGAUUCUCUGGACUGUAACUGACGCUGAGGCACGAAAGCGUGGGUAGCAAACAGGAUUAGAUACCCUGGUAGUCCACGCCGUAAACGAUGAGUACUAGGUGUAGGAGGUAUCGACCCCUUCUGUGCCGCAGUAAACACAUUAAGUACUCCGCCUGGGAAGUACGAUCGCAAGAUUAAAACUCUAAAGUGAAUUGACGGGGUC
Molecule: ribosomal RNA, 551 nt
Filed under: uncultured bacterium
Lineage: Bacteria
Description: partial 16S ribosomal RNA
Rfam family: Bacterial small subunit ribosomal RNA
Source: RNAcentral